UACGUAGGGGGCAAGCGUUGUCCGGAAUCAUUGGGCGUAAAGCGCGUGUAGGCGGUUCAGUAAGUCUGCUGUGAAAGUCCAGGGCUCAACCCUGGGAUGCCGGUGGAUACUGCUGGACUAGAGUGCGGAAGAGGCGAGUGGAAUUCCCGGUGUAGCGGUGAAAUGCGCAGAUAUCGGGAGGAACACCGAUUGCGAAGGCAGCUCGCUGGGACGUUACUGACGCUGAGACGCGAAAGCGUGGGGAGCAAACAGG
RNAcentral lists this ribosomal RNA (253 nucleotides) under uncultured bacterium. RNAcentral describes it as "partial 16S ribosomal RNA". It matches the Rfam family "Bacterial small subunit ribosomal RNA", at positions 524 to 776 of the family's 1533-position model. The record is from RNAcentral.